This 273-nucleotide ribosomal RNA is filed under the name Triticum aestivum (bread wheat). RNAcentral describes it as "partial small subunit ribosomal RNA". Lineage: Eukaryota; Viridiplantae; Streptophyta; Magnoliopsida; Poales; Poaceae. The record is from RNAcentral.
AUGCUAACCGAAUUGACCGAUGGACAACUAGGCUGGACAUUAUCACAUGACGCCAGCCUCAACUUGCAUGGCCAUAUGAUUUGCACUCUUAAAAUACAGCCCAAGGUGACAUGGAGGGUUGUUGGAAGCAGCGGCGGACCAGUUAGCUUGACCGAUAAUGAUGCGGAGGACGAUUGGGCCACACCGUAUCACUCUGAAUAUUCCUGGAACUCGGAUGACGACAACUUCAUCGACAUGGUUCGAGGCGCCGACCACCAUGAGUUGGUAGAAUAG